AAUAUUGCACAAUGGGCGAAAGCCUGAUGCAGCAACGCCGCGUGAGUGAUGAAGGCCUUCGGGUUGUAAAGCUCUUUGAGCAGGGAUGAUAAUUACAGUACCUGAAAAACAAGCCACUGCUAACUACGUGCCAGCAGCCGCGGUAACACGUAGGUGGCGGGCGUUGUCCGGAAUUACUGGGCGUAAAGGAUGCGUAGGUGGAAACUAAAGUGGGCUGUGAAAUCCGCGGGCUCAACCCGGGAACUACAUUCCAAACUGGGUAUCUAGAGUGCAGGAGAGGAAGCGGAAUUCAUAGUGUAGCGGUGAAAUGCGUAGAUAUUAGGAGGAACACCAGUGGCGAAGGCGGCUUUCUGGACUGUAACUGACACUGAGGCAUGAAAGCGUGGGUAGCAAACAG
Molecule: ribosomal RNA, 397 nt
Filed under: uncultured bacterium
Lineage: Bacteria
Description: partial 16S ribosomal RNA
Rfam family: Bacterial small subunit ribosomal RNA
Source: RNAcentral